This 926-nucleotide long non-coding RNA is filed under the name Malus domestica (apple). RNAcentral describes it as "long non-coding RNA (MDOM_LNC018036)". The record is from RNAcentral. Lineage: Eukaryota; Viridiplantae; Streptophyta; Magnoliopsida; Rosales; Rosaceae.
ACUGGUUGAGUUGCUGCUUGCCUGGACGUUGCUAGAGACGUUAUUCGUCUGCCCUUGUUCUACUUUGGGACACCUCAUAUGGGGCACUGUCAUGCCCCGAACCUGAGGUCGGUAAUAAAAACUCGAACCUGAAUCUGAAAUGUGAGUUAAGUAUUAAAAGGAAACUUGAAACGAGUUUGAAAAUAAAUUCAUUCUUAUAAAAUAACUCCAUAAUCCUUAUAGGGGGUACAAAAAUAAUAAAUUAAAACUCUUAGAUCCCUCGUCUAAGACAACCUCAGUUUGUCUAUCACCAGUCUUGCCAAAUAACGUAUCUGUAAAAUAAUAAGUGAUGGGUGAGCAACAAUCACCAUCGCUCAGUGAGUAGAAUAUGUAAUAUGCCAGUCAUGCUUGCAAUUUUAAUCGUACUAUAAUAUAGGAUAAUAAUAUCAAAGCUUUAGCCACAUAAUUUCAUAUCACAUAGUUCCUUAACAUGUUGGUUAUCCUUCAUAAUAUAUAACUCACCACAUGACCCUUAAAAUGGCAUUUCCGCCCCAAUGUCCACGUUUGCCAUACAUUUAUCCCUCGGAUAACCCGAUACUUAAGUUCUCAUGCUCCAUGAACACCUCAAAUAACCACAUAUCACUAUAUUAAUAAUUCUGAAAGCAUCCCAUAAAUUCAACAUGCUUGACUUGAAAUAGAGAGAUAUUUGAAAAUAGAUAAAUCCAUAAUAACUCAUGGUUUUUAUUUAUCAGAAAAUAAGAAUAUUUUAAACACAUUACAUAAACCACUCACCUCGAUCAAUAACUAGAACCUCGGUAAGACAAGUAUACAAAGAAUCUCCACACAACAAACCCUAAACCCUAUUUCUUUCUCUCUUUACCCUCACUCCCUUUCUCUACAUUGAACCUUCGAUGCAUGCUUUGCAUGUUUCCUUCUUUUUAUGCUCC